AGCAGUUCGACUUUUUAGAGGCAACAAUCAACUUACACAGCAUGGAACCAAAGGAAAGUGAGCCAUUUUUCCACCCACUUUUGUUAACUUAGCAUCCUCAUCAAAGGCCCGAACCUUAAACAACAGAUCCAGAGUUUUAAUUAUCGCUUCAGUUGUUGGAGUAUAUUUGAAGUCAAAAGUUCAUCAACUCUUAACUCACAAUUCUGUUGAGUAACAGCACAACAUUUGCAAGGAGCUGGUCGUCCUGAUUGACCAGCACGUUCGUUGGCACACGCCUUCUACAUGGGAGCGACCACCAAACACUCAAUUCCUGUCCGAGUCAACUUUUGGCAAUAGUCGUCAACUUAUUUUAAUUUUCUUAACAUCCAAAUUACAAAAGGAGCUUCAAGAACAGAAGCUAACAGAGUACAAAGAGUGACUAUGAGGCUCUAAUGAAGAUAACGAGUUGAUCUUUAUUGCUAACAGAGCAGCCAAGAUAGGUACAUGUAUUGCUGCAACAGUUGUUCGAGAAGAUCCGAAUGCACAGAUUUCUGGAAAUAAUAUCGACAGAAUGUAUAUAAAGAAGAAAACAGCAUAUGAUCUUUGCAUAUGUAACAGUUAGCCGAAAAAAUCAUGCUGUUAUAAGUUAUUUUAGUAGUUUAUUAGUUAUAAACAACAUAUUUGUAUCAUUUCAUGUUUUCCCUUCUCCCAAACUUUGCGAUUUAGU
Molecule: long non-coding RNA, 706 nt
Organism: Nicotiana attenuata
Lineage: Eukaryota; Viridiplantae; Streptophyta; Magnoliopsida; Solanales; Solanaceae
Exons: 4
Source: RefSeq, a predicted model, not a curated record